CAGUAGCCGCGGUAAUACGUAGGUGGCAAGCGUUGUCCGGAAUUAUUGGGCGUAAAGGGCUCGCAGGCGGUUUCUUAAGUCUGAUGUGAAAGCCCCCGGCUCAACCGGGGAGGGUCAUUGGAAACUGGGAAACUUGAGUGCAGAAGAGGAGAGUGGAAUUCCACGUGUAGCGGUGAAAUGCGUAGAGAUGUGGAGGAACACCAGUGGCGAAGGCGACUCUCUGGUCUGUAACUGACGCUGAGGAGCGAGAGCGUGGGGAGCGAACAGGAUUAGAUACCCGCGUAGUCCCUGUCUCUUAUAC
This 301-nucleotide ribosomal RNA is filed under the name uncultured bacterium. RNAcentral's name for it is "partial 16S ribosomal RNA". It matches the Rfam family "Bacterial small subunit ribosomal RNA", at positions 509 to 807 of the family's 1533-position model. The record is from RNAcentral.